GAUAUUUUUAUACUAAUAUAUAGUUGAGCCAUAACAAAUAGAGGAUGAAAUUUUACUCUCUAAUGUUUACUCUUCCCUUUCCCUUGUCAGGGAAUAAAAAUCGACCACAGAGGCACAGUACACAAGCUGGAAAGAUCACUGGGUAUUUGAAUAACUAGUGUGGAUUAAAUGUAUGUUACUUGUACCUGAAUACUGUACAGUAAGAGUGAGCCAAGUGCUUGCUUUGAAAAGUUGAGUCUAGAGUCUUAACUUUAAUUUAUUAAUGAAGAAACUCUUCAUCUGUAGCUGUGUAGCCCAUUCCUGAAAAAUCAUUGUCUAGGCAUUUGACUGAAUGUAUUAUUUUUCUGGUGUGCCCAUUCAGUCAUCUGCCAGAGGAGGCAAGUCAUCCCUGACCAAACUGCAGUUACAGCUGUGUCGGGUGUCCUGGUGUUUGUGUUUUGUGGUGUUCCUGCUUGCUCUAAUCAAGCUUCUGGAAUAGUUUACUUCAGUUUCCUGUUCUGUGAAGUUUAACUAUUGCUAAUGUAAGGGUUUUUUAUGUGAAGCUUACCAGACACAUCCUGAAAAUGUGACGAUGAAGCUCUGACUUGUUGCCACUGAGAUUUCUACUGGAUGUUCUACUAUGUGACUCUUAAACCCAGGUUUAAAUCCCCAGCAGUCAUACACGUGUUCACUUCUAAAAUGUUUGUGGUAGAAUGAGCAACGCAAAGUGCUGGUGUAUGCUGAGGUAGGGCAAUGAGCUCAUUUACUGACAAGAAGCUGUGCUAAUGCUUUGUUGACAGGGAUUCUGAAAAUGCUGUAUUUAAGGGUUGUCCAGAAAUCCAGAGUUAAAUGGAGACUAGAUAGUGAGUAGUUAAAAAUUAGUAUUAUUGUUCCAUGGGACACAGGGUGUAUUGCUUAAUAAUUCUGUCUUGGACAUUGUCUGCAAAUACUCUUCUUAUGCUGAGGUGGGAAUACUUUCUUAUAUCCCAUUGCAGUCCCACAUUUUUUACCUAUAGUAUUUUUCUCCCCAUGUUGAAGUAUGGGGGAAUAUAGGAGAGAACCGUACUUUCCCUUUUCAGUAUGGCUGUAUAAAUAAUUAGUAAAACAAUUUGAGGUCUUAAAAAGAUAAAUCUGCAUUGCGACAUUAGAAUGAGAAGAGAGAGGGGGACUGUAGACUUUGUUGUUUCAAAAUCAGGAUGAAGAAUCACAGGUUCAGCACAGCAGCAUUUGAAAUCCCUUCUCCAGUACAGGCAGGUGCAGUAUCUGUAAGGAGGAACAUUCACUUCAUCUCCUUAGUUAAGUCCUCAUCCUGCAGCCUGGUGUCUGGUUUGCUUCCCUGUGUUUGUGUUGGACUUGUUAG
Molecule: long non-coding RNA, 1339 nt
Organism: Strigops habroptila (Kakapo)
Lineage: Eukaryota; Metazoa; Chordata; Aves; Psittaciformes; Psittacidae
Exons: 3
Source: RefSeq, a predicted model, not a curated record